UUUUUAAUUAAAAAAAAGUAAAUAGACACGGUGAAGACAGCAAGAUAAUCCCAUCACCUUGGGGGGAGGGACUGUGUCGCGCCCAUCAGAGUGAACAUGGGGGGUCUACACCC
This 113-nucleotide small nucleolar RNA is filed under the name Dasypus novemcinctus (nine-banded armadillo). RNAcentral's name for it is "Small nucleolar RNA SNORA68 (ENSDNOG00000029737.1)". The record is from RNAcentral. Lineage: Eukaryota; Metazoa; Chordata; Mammalia; Cingulata; Dasypodidae.